Molecule: non-coding RNA, 497 nt
Organism: Erythranthe guttata (spotted monkey flower)
Lineage: Eukaryota; Viridiplantae; Streptophyta; Magnoliopsida; Lamiales; Phrymaceae
Source: RefSeq, a predicted model, not a curated record
AAAAAAAUUUGGUUGCUACAGGGGAAGGCUGAUUUUUAACAAACCUAUAAUGAAGACUAUUCGGAAGGUGUUGAUUAAGUUGAAUGGUAUCAGGUGAAAAAAAAAGGUAAGAAUAAAUUUCUCGUAUAAUUAUGUUCAAACAAUUGGAAGGCUCUUGGAAUACAUAUUAUUUGGGCCGUUUUACUGGUAGAAAAAAAAAAGGAAUUUCCCCAAUGAUUAUAUUCAGAUAAAUAAGAGAUGGUUGCUUAUGCAAUUGCUUUGAAUGAUGAAUUUUAUUGUUGAUGCAAGCCAUCUAGAAUAUGAUGGGAGCUGAAUCAUACUGUUGAAGUUUAGAGUUGCUAGAGAUUAAAAGUUUAGUUAAUCAAGAUAUUCAAAUUUUACAUUAUAGGACUAUGAUUCCAUAAUGUUGGUUGGUUUGGAAGAUCCUUUGUAGUACUAUGAUUUUUCUAAGUUGAAUAUAUUUGAAAUUUUUGUUAUGAAAAUUGAGAUUAUUGUUA